UACAGAGGCCUCAAGCGUUGUUCGGAAUUACUGGGCGUAAAGGGAAUGUAGGUGGUGAGAUAAGUCAGAUGUGAAAGCCCUGGGCUUAACCCGGGAAAUGCAUUUGAUACUGUUUUACUUGAGCGUGAGAUAGGAAAAGGGAAUUCCCGGUGUAGGAGUGAAAUCCGUAGAUAUCGGGAGGAAUACCGAUGGCGAAGGCGGGUCUCUGGGCAGUAACUGACGCUGAGGAGCGAAAGCGUGGGGAGCGAACAGG
Molecule: ribosomal RNA, 253 nt
Filed under: uncultured bacterium
Lineage: Bacteria
Description: partial 16S ribosomal RNA
Rfam family: Bacterial small subunit ribosomal RNA
Source: RNAcentral